GGGGGGGGGGGGGGCGGCCCGACUCUUCCGGUACCUUCAGCGGAUCCCGACUUGAUUGCAUCUGGGGAACGUUCACGUUCGAGACGGCCGGCGUCCAGCCGACGCACGUGAGCUCAGCCGGGGCUCCGCUGCGGUGACCUGGUCCCCCCCCCGUUUGGCUUUUAUCUCCCACACAGUUUAUCUCCAGCCAUUAAACUCAAGCAACCUUCCAGAUUCUCCUCCUCACAGCGAUUCAUGUCCCAUUGUCUCCUCCUCCAUCUCUGUACCAGAGACAAUGGAUUCCCAAUGCUUGCUUACUGGGUGCUUACUUGUUUAGUUCAGUUUAUUUUGUCUGGGCCAAAAUCCCCAAAUUGCCUUAAGGGGGAAGAGGAGGAACAGAAUGAUUCUGAACUAUAUGAACUAUUCAUAUAAUGAGAGUAGCGAGAACCCAUCAGCAGAACCGUCUGAUGUGGAGAUCCGGCGAUGUAAAGAAAAAAAGGUUCCCCACGCGGAGACCUGCCGCGGGGAGGGUUCCAGCGCGGAAAAGUGUUUUCCAUAUUAAGUGGCUCGAGAGGCGUGCUGGUGAGACGGGCUCGAGCAUCAGAGAGAGGGUGAUGGAACGGACAAGGUAAUGAAUCUGUGACACGCACACACACACACACACACACACACACGCCGAUCCGUCGACUCCAGCAUCAAUGAGUCAAGUAAAUAAGAGUUUUUGGAUCAUAGAGGCGUUUUACGGCAGAGAACACAGUCCCCUCCCCCCCCCGACGCAGCCUCCUUAUCCACUCAGGGGGGGGUGUGGGGGGGUGUGGGGGGGGCAGGAGGCGCUGCGGCGGAUAAUCGAAUAGAGGAAAGGUUACAUUCCUGGUCGAUCGCUUUGCACCACGGACUCCGCGGUUGCAGCUGUUCACCUUUGGAGUGUCGCAGCGGAAGCUGUAGUAGCUGCCGCCAUUAAACCCCCCCCCCAGUGACAGGUUGUCAAGCCGGAUGUCCUGGAUCACAUGUCAUCGUCUCGCCCCAGUUGGCCUUUUUUAACUGUAAAAUAACGGGACCCAAUUGUCUUAUCUCCUUUGUUUCUUUUCUUUGUGUUUCAUCCAAUUCUCCAAAUCAGGUUCACAGUAUUUUAUGAAUCUGAAUCCUCCAUCUUAACAUGCCGGUGGAGUAACAACAGAAAUGUGAAUCAUCCAUCAGCAGCUCAUGUAGUUAAACAAGGAUCAAGGGCCGAGCGUCAUUCUGCAAGGUGACCCUCUGAGCACGCCGCGCGUUAGUGAGAAAAACGCGAGGAGCCUCGUACACCGCGCUUACUCAUCUGUGACGCCCCCCCUCUCCUCCACCCCACCCCCCCCCCCAACAAACAACUCAUCCCCUUCUCUGGGACGUGGGACAAGUUACCACUGACGUCACAGGACGAGCACAUGGCUCUUUUUAUCUGUUGGAAGGGAGCUGCAGGGUUCAACACCUCGUUUCACCAGUUUCUGGAAGAACACUAACACAAACAGCCGGGGGGGUGGGUAUAUGGGGGGGGGGGGGGUAAUUACAAGAGACGGUGGAAGAAGAUGCACAUAUGGGUAGAAGAGGAGGGGCUGGUGAGGACAAAAUUGCGCUAGUGUGUUCCCCGUGGCGUCACACGACACAUUUUUCCCUUGAGGCUCUCUGUAGGCCGCUGACACAUCAACGAGGGGGGGGGGGGGGGGGUUGAGCUGCACCCCUCCCGCCUCCCUGCACGCCAGGACCAUCAGCUUCCUCUUCGGGUGGGAAUUUUUAACCAACAAUGAGAGAUGUAACAAUCGCACUUCCACACAUGCAUUAGCGUGUAGUUUGUGUAUUCUGCAUGGUGUGUGUGUGUGUGUGUGUGUGUGUGUGUGUGUUUAUAUGUGAGCACGCUGCAGAACCACAGCACCAUCUUGUGGGUCACAUGUAAGACAAGUCCAAAACGGAGAAAAGCGUCCACCUCAAUAGCGCCCUGCUUAACCGCUUCAGAAGAAGAUGCGGCACGUUGUUCUGUUUAGUCUCCAAUGAGCAGCAGAGAACUCAAAUGUUUCACCUGAUGGAAACGUUCACCUCAGGAUCUGAUUAAACGAGUGAUCAAAGCGCGUUUCUUACCACAGCCAACUUAAAAAACGCACGGGGUUGGAGCGCCUUUUGUCUAAAGGACUGUAAAGAGCCCCGGAGGCAAACAACGCCGGCGAGGAUUAUUUAAUCCGACCAGAGGUUCGCCUGCAGAUGUGGACCGGAGCCCCGAGUGGUUCUUUGAUCGCUUUCCACUGAUUCCUCUUGUCGUGUUUGAGUCCUGAGGAGCGUUAAACCCUCGGAUGGCUUCGUUUGUAGGGCCUUGCUCGAGGGCGAGGGUUAUUUAGGACAAACUUUGCUUUCUCACUGCGAAGAAUUUUAGGGGUUAACAGACAAAUGACUGUAAACAAACAAACACACACACACACGCACACACGCACACUAUAAAUGCACGGGUAGUCAAUCAAACAUGCAGGGAAUGCUAGAGGAAAGCAGAGAAUGAUUCCACGUGUCCCCGGGGUCGUUGGCUUAUCAGUGUAAGUGGAAAGUGUUGCACUGUGAGGGCAGCUACCAGUGUGCGUGUGUGUGUGUGUGUGUGUGUGUGUGUGUGUGUGCGUGUGUGUGUGUGUGUGUGUUUGUGAGAAAGAGCUGCUCUUCUCACACUGUAACGACUCACUGGUGACAUUGUUCUGAUUUAUUUUUGGUAUCCUAGAUUUGAUUUGCUCUCUCCAGGAUAUCACACACACACACACAGUAGUAGCUGCCCUCACAGUGCAACACUUUCCACUUACACACAGUUACACUCCAUCGUACAUCAGGGGACACUUAAAUAAUGCCACUAAAACAUGUUUCUAAAGAUAUAACUUAAAAGUGCGUAACUGUACUGAGACGAUGACAUUUCUUGCCAGAUUAGUAGAAAAUGGAUUCAAAAUCCUUCUACUGUUUUAAAUCAGCUCAAAUCUUCCCCCUUUUUACUGCUCCAUUGCUUCAUUAUGUUGAAUUAGCCACAGGCUAGUGAGCUAGCUAACGCCAGCUUGCUAAUUCCCCCGUGUCGUGCUAACGUUGUGCUAACGUUGUGCUAACGUUGUGCUGCGCUCCAUUCGACUGCAGAUGUGAACUCUGGGAACGACGUCAAAGAACAACAAGCCAUAAAAAGCUGAGAUAACUUUUUUUACUAACGAUUGAGGGCUGAAAACCUUCAAACAGAGAAACUCCUCUACUGGUCCUUCACUGAUUGAUCAGGAAGUAGCUGAAAUGAUCACACGGUUUUCUUAGAGCACAUCUGUAGCACAAAACAGAAGAACUACAGAGACAUCUGGCUUUAAACAUUCUGUCCCAAAUCACACGAUCUGAGCCUCUUUAAAGAGGCAAAAUAAUGUAUAAUGAUGAUGGAGUGUUACAGUCAAAUUUACACAGUAAGAGAAACACACAGAAACAGAUGAAAAGCAGACUGUACACGUGUGUGUGUGUGUGUGUGUGUGUGUGUGUGUGUGUGUGUGUGUGCGCCCGUAACGAGCAUGUAAUUGGCGGUGUGUGAUUAGCUGGUGUCAGACUGCACGCUGCCGGGCCUGUUUGAUAAGAUCAGACUUUGUGGCCCGUUGACGUUCACACAAACACGAAGGCGUCAGCUCCUUUCCACCCGACAGAUUCACGCGCCGCCGAUCGUUUCCUGUCAUCAUCCCCGCGGAACGGGAAAAAAACCACACAGUCCAUUAGCUAAUCCGUUAAUUCUUCCCCGUCUGUUUGCAGAUGUCGGCCUCGAGUCCCCUCGGUCCCACUGAAGACGUCGCAUCUUCACAAACAGGGUUUUUCUAGAUUAUACUGAUUAUAAGCAAACCACAUUCAAACUGAGCACUUUUAGCCUUGUAUGAAUAUGCAAUAUUUUCAGCAGGAAGCUGUUGUGGGAUUUAAUGAAAAAAUAAACCACAGCACAUGCUGAUGAUGAAGGAACAUGUCACACAGGGUGGUUGAUCGAAACAGCUGUAGAUUUAUUUAUCACUGAAUGAAAUCUGAUCGGCUGCUUCGUCCUCCUCCCCUUGUCCAGAAAUCCUCCCCCCCAAAAAAACACCACUCUUUUUACCUGUUUCAAUUUGGGGUUGAUGAGCGGGUUCACUUUCCGGUCGGAGACGACAGGGUGCGACGGCGCGACGGGGCCGAGGCUCCACGCGCAGGCCAGAGGUCAGAGGUCAGAGGUCAGAGGGCCCCCCCCCCCCACUGGUCACGGCUCGCAACCCCUGGAUUUCACAGAGGCGAGGAAGAGUCGUUCGAACGUGUGUGUGUGUGUGUGUGUGUGUGUGUGUCGGAGGAGGAGGAGGUCAGGGCAGACGGUGUAGAUUUCAGGGGUCAAAGGUGAAUCGCCGGGGGAGGGGGAACUAAUCCGACUGUGGAUUUCAUGGGUCUGGCUGCGUCAGGCGACAGCGUCUGAAGGUUUCAGCCUCUUAAACCGGCUGGUAUCUCUUUGAGUUUCCAACUUAACGUCAUAUUGCUUCACGCAGAUGCAUAAAUACAACGUUUAAAUAUCACGUUUUGUGGGUUUCCAGCCUUUAGAAAGGCCCACGGGGAACAUUUGAGGGAUCUAUUGGCAGGAAUGGAAUAUUCUAUUCAUAACCAUGUUUUCAUUGGAAGUGUGAUCAAGUGAAUCCUCGUGUUUCCGUGAGCUUCCAUUGGCGAACGAGACAUAAGCACGGCGCCGAAAGGGUUAAACUUUACUUUCAUGAGCUGAAAAACAACAACGCGCUGUAAAAUGGAUUCGAGUAGUGCGACGAAAACAAGCGCACACUAGUCCAGACACACCGGCCGGAAGGAUUCCCUAAUUCCUCGUCUAUUUUACUCCAAAUGGGCCGUAAAUGACCAAAUAAUCAUCACGCUGUAUUGAAGAAGACUUGAAAGGAGCGUUUGAAGCUACAAACUAACAUUUAUCAUGUUUCUUGAGGGAAUAAAUCGGCUCCUACACAAUCUUCUGAACCGCGAGCCCAUUAAAGCAAAAGAAAGGUUAGAAAACAUGUGCUGAGUGGAUGAUUAAAGUAAAUAAAGUGGUUGCUCGCCACCCGGCACAUGACCCUCUCGCCAUCGCAGCUAUCAGUUUUCUUUUUCAACCGUUUUCUAUUUUCCCUUCACACUUUUCUGCUUUCGCGUGUGUGUGUUUGUGCGCGCGUGUGUGU
This is a long non-coding RNA of Gasterosteus aculeatus aculeatus (three-spined stickleback), 5156 nucleotides long. The record is from Ensembl. NCBI's taxonomy places the organism in Eukaryota, Metazoa, Chordata, Actinopteri, Perciformes, Gasterosteidae.